GACGAACGCUGGCGGCGUGCUUAACACAUGCAAGUCGAGCGAUGAGAUCCCUUCGGGGAUGGAUUAGCGGCGAACGGGUGAGGAACACGUGAAGAAUCUGCCUUCAACUCUGGGAUAACACCGGGAAACCGGUGCUAAUACCGGAUAUGAGCCUUGAUCGCAUGAUCGGGGCUGGAAAGUUUUUCGGUUGAAGAUGACUUCGCGGCCUAUCAGCUUGUUGGUGAGGUAAUGGCUCACCAAGGCGACGACGGGUAGCCGGCCUGAGAGGGCGACCGGCCACACUGGGACUGAGACACGGCCCAGACUCCUACGGGAGGCAGCAGUGGGGAAUAUUGGGCAAUGGACGAAAGUCUGACCCAGCGACGCCGCGUGCGGGAUGAAGGCCUUCGGGUUGUAAACCGCUUUCAGCAGGGAAGAAGCGAAAGUGACGGUACCUGCAGAAGAAGCACCGGCUAACUAUGUGCCAGCAGCCGCGGUAAUACAUAGGGUGCAAGCGUUGUCCGGAAUUAUUGGGCGUAAAGAGCUCGUAGGUGGUUAGUUACGUCGGAUGUGAAAAUCUAGGGCUCAACCCUAGACCUGCAUCCGAUACGGGCUAGCUUGAGUUUGGUAGGGGAGACUGGAAUUCCUGGUGUAGCGGUGGAAUGCGCAGAUAUCAGGAGGAACACCAAUGGCGAAGGCAGGUCUCUGGGCCAAUACUGACACUGAGGAGCGAAAGUGUGGGGAGCGAACAGGAUUAGAUACCCUGGUAGUCCACACAGUAAACGGUGGGCACUAGUUGUGGGGACCUUCCACGGUCUCUGCGACGCAGCUAACGCAUUAAGUGCCCCGCCUGGGGAGUACGAUCGCAAGAUUA
This 853-nucleotide ribosomal RNA is filed under the name uncultured bacterium. Its description in RNAcentral is "bacterial SSU rRNA". It matches the Rfam family "Bacterial small subunit ribosomal RNA", at positions 28 to 896 of the family's 1533-position model. The record is from RNAcentral.